CCAAAAAAUAAACGCAAUAACCCCGAUUUCCCUCACGCUCGACCGCCGCCUCCCCGACAGACGCGUGCAAGAGACUCGAAUGCGGGGAGUAUGGCGUCUGCGAGGUCGACCAGGAAGGGCGAGGCCGCUGCUCCUGCCCCACGAACUGCUCUCAGGCACUGGGCGGGGAAGUCUGUGGCAACGACGGGAAGACUUAUUCGUCGGAGUGCCACUUGAGAAUGACAGCUUGUUCCACUCAAGUACAGCUCCGAGCGCGACAUAAGGGCAACUGUGAUUUGUGUCUGGAUGUGCACUGUAAAUAUGGUGCCAGGUGCGAGGGGGGGCGUUGUAUCUGCCCCACAGAUUGUCCGGAUAAGCGAGAACCUGUGUGCGGAUCAG
Penaeus chinensis is the source of this 378-nucleotide long non-coding RNA. RefSeq lists it as uncharacterized. Lineage: Eukaryota; Metazoa; Arthropoda; Malacostraca; Decapoda; Penaeidae. The record is from RefSeq and is a predicted model, not a curated record. The transcript is spliced from 3 exons.